This 243-nucleotide unclassified non-coding RNA is filed under the name fungal sp. Its description in RNAcentral is "partial internal transcribed spacer region". The stretch from base 1 to 46 matches the Rfam family "Eukaryotic small subunit ribosomal RNA", at positions 1786 to 1831 of the family's 1831-position model. The record is from RNAcentral. Lineage: Eukaryota; Fungi.
AAGUCGUAACAAGGUUUCCGUAGGUGAACCUGCGGAAGGAUCAUUACCAAAUUAUUUUAAUAACCACUUGUGAACCCGAAUCAGAGAUGUUAUGUGUAUAUGUACGAAUUUGAUCAUUUUAUUAUGGUUAGUGAGUAUUAUAUGCGUGAUGUGUUUGAUUCAAAAUAAAAAACUAUACUCAUUAUUUGUCUAAAUUAUUUUAUUAAUAAAAAACAACUUUUAACAAUGGAUCUCUUGGCUCUC